Long non-coding RNA from Lotus japonicus, 524 nucleotides. RefSeq lists it as uncharacterized. The transcript has 2 exons. Lineage: Eukaryota; Viridiplantae; Streptophyta; Magnoliopsida; Fabales; Fabaceae. The record is from RefSeq and is a predicted model, not a curated record.
AUGCCUCACAUCUAAAACAAACAUAAUCGAGUCUUUCUGAAAUCCUAAAUGCUUCGUUUUUUAUCAGUCAAAACCCUUGUGUCUCGCCAAAAUUCUAAAAAUUGUUGCCUUAACCAGAACCGCUUGAACGCUAAGCCCCUACUCAACUCCUUUAUUUACUCUUCCAAAUAUCAAAUUUGAAGACUAUAUAUGCUUAGUCUUUUUUUUUGCACCAUAUUCUUGAUCGCUCCUUCUGAAUGCGGUAUGAGCCACCUGCAUAGAUGAGGUGAUCUAGGCAGCACCAUUCAAGCAUUUGAUGUUGCUUUGCGAGCAACCCCAUCUGAAAAGAAUAAUGUUGUGAGGAGGGUCAUUUUCUCACCUAAGUUGGGGGCAACAGAUCCACUUAGUGGUGGUACAAAGCAUAGAAGAUGAUAUUUUCAGUGCCUCCACCAAAUACAGAUGAGACUAUCCUUUAAUAUUACUUCUACCAUCUACCUUUGUAAUAUUGUCUUUGAUGAAUAAAAAUUGAAUUAAUUGUCCGUCUU